GCACUAGUAACUCAGCGCAGAGUGUCGGUCUUGUAAACCGAAAGCCGGGGGUUAAAAUCCCCCCUACUGCU
RNAcentral lists this transfer RNA (71 nucleotides) under Omegophora armilla (ringed toadfish). RNAcentral describes it as "tRNA-Thr". It matches the Rfam family "tRNA". From Rfam's summary of the family: Transfer RNA (tRNA) molecules are approximately 80 nucleotides in length. Their secondary structure includes four short double-helical elements and three loops (D, anti-codon, and T loops). Further hydrogen bonds mediate the characteristic L-shaped molecular structure. tRNAs have two regions of fundamental functional importance: the anti-codon, which is responsible for specific mRNA codon recognition, and the 3' end, to which the tRNAs corresponding amino acid is attached (by aminoacyl-tRNA synthetases). tRNAs cope with the degeneracy of the genetic code in two manners: having more than one tRNA (with a specific anti-codon) for a particular amino acid; and 'wobble' base-pairing, i.e. permitting non-standard base-pairing at the 3rd anti-codon position. RNAcentral also lists the same sequence under 1 other name. Lineage: Eukaryota; Metazoa; Chordata; Actinopteri; Tetraodontiformes; Tetraodontidae. The record is from RNAcentral.